Molecule: ribosomal RNA, 1517 nt
Filed under: Bacteroides thetaiotaomicron
Lineage: Bacteria; Pseudomonadati; Bacteroidota; Bacteroidia; Bacteroidales; Bacteroidaceae
Description: bacterial SSU rRNA
Rfam family: Bacterial small subunit ribosomal RNA
Source: RNAcentral
AGAGUUUGAUCCUGGCUCAGGAUGAACGCUAGCUACAGGCUUAACACAUGCAAGUCGAGGGGCAGCAUUUCAGUUUGCUUGCAAACUGGAGAUGGCGACCGGCGCACGGGUGAGUAACACGUAUCCAACCUGCCGAUAACUCGGGGAUAGCCUUUCGAAAGAAAGAUUAAUACCCGAUGGUAUAAUCAGACCGCAUGGUUUGAUUAUUAAAGAAUUUCGGUUAUCGAUGGGGAUGCGUUCCAUUAGGCAGUUGGUGAGGUAACGGCUCACCAAACCUUCGAUGGAUAGGGGUUCUGAGAGGAAGGUCCCCCACAUUGGAACUGAGACACGGUCCAAACUCCUACGGGAGGCAGCAGUGAGGAAUAUUGGUCAAUGGGCGCAGGCCUGAACCAGCCAAGUAGCGUGAAGGAUGACUGCCCUAUGGGUUGUAAACUUCUUUUAUAUGGGAAUAAAGUUUUCCACGUGUGGAAUUUUGUAUGUACCAUAUGAAUAAGGAUCGGCUAACUCCGUGCCAGCAGCCGCGGUAAUACGGAGGAUCCGAGCGUUAUCCGGAUUUAUUGGGUUUAAAGGGAGCGUAGGUGGACAGUUAAGUCAGUUGUGAAAGUUUGCGGCUCAACCGUAAAAUUGCAGUUGAUACUGGCUGUCUUGAGUACAGUAGAGGUGGGCGGAAUUCGUGGUGUAGCGGUGAAAUGCUUAGAUAUCACGAAGAACUCCGAUUGCGAAGGCAGCUCACUGGACUGCAACUGACACUGAUGCUCGAAAGUGUGGGUAUCAAACAGGAUUAGAUACCCUGGUAGUCCACACAGUAAACGAUGAAUACUCGCUGUUUGCGAUAUACAGUAAGCGGCCAAGCGAAAGCAUUAAGUAUUCCACCUGGGGAGUACGCCGGCAACGGUGAAACUCAAAGGAAUUGACGGGGGCCCGCACAAGCGGAGGAACAUGUGGUUUAAUUCGAUGAUACGCGAGGAACCUUACCCGGGCUUAAAUUGCAUUUGAAUAAUCUGGAAACAGGUUAGCCGCAAGGCAAAUGUGAAGGUGCUGCAUGGUUGUCGUCAGCUCGUGCCGUGAGGUGUCGGCUUAAGUGCCAUAACGAGCGCAACCCUUAUCUUUAGUUACUAACAGGUCAUGCUGAGGACUCUAGAGAGACUGCCGUCGUAAGAUGUGAGGAAGGUGGGGAUGACGUCAAAUCAGCACGGCCCUUACGUCCGGGGCUACACACGUGUUACAAUGGGGGGUACAGAAGGCAGCUACCUGGUGACAGGAUGCUAAUCCCAAAAGCCUCUCUCAGUUCGGAUCGAAGUCUGCAACCCGACUUCGUGAAGCUGGAUUCGCUAGUAAUCGCGCAUCAGCCAUGGCGCGGUGAAUACGUUCCCGGGCCUUGUACACACCGCCCGUCAAGCCAUGAAAGCCGGGGGUACCUGAAGUACGUAACCGCAAGGAGCGUCCUAGGGUAAAACUGGUAAUUGGGGCUAAGUCGUAACAAGGUAGCCGUACCGGAAGGUGCGGCUGGAACACCU